GCCCAGGUAGCUCAGUCGGUAGAGCAGAGGACUGAAAAUCCUCGUGUCGGCGGUUCGAUUCCGUCCCUGGGCACCA
RNAcentral lists this transfer RNA (76 nucleotides) under Acidithiobacillus ferrooxidans. RNAcentral's name for it is "tRNA-Phe". It matches the Rfam family "tRNA". Rfam says of the family: Transfer RNA (tRNA) molecules are approximately 80 nucleotides in length. Their secondary structure includes four short double-helical elements and three loops (D, anti-codon, and T loops). RNAcentral also lists the same sequence under 71 other names. The record is from RNAcentral. Lineage: Bacteria; Pseudomonadati; Pseudomonadota; Acidithiobacillia; Acidithiobacillales; Acidithiobacillaceae.